This is a non-coding RNA of Petromyzon marinus (sea lamprey), 590 nucleotides long. The record is from RefSeq and is a predicted model, not a curated record. NCBI's taxonomy places the organism in Eukaryota, Metazoa, Chordata, Hyperoartia, Petromyzontiformes, Petromyzontidae.
GGGAGGAGGUGGUGGGGACGAGGGGGAGGAGGCGGAGGAGUUCUCAGAGCUAUGAAGAGUUCCUGGACUCGCACAUCAACGCGCGGGACCUCUACUACCUAGAGGACGAGGAGGUGGUGCGCGCUGUCUUGGCGCUGGGUUACCGCAGCAGUGGCGAGGAGAUUUUAACUCGCGACGAGUUCCAGAGACGUCGAAACCUCCGCAGGGAACAAGAGGAGAGAGAGGCGGAGAGACGCUGUACGCUGUACAGUGACGGUCUGGACAUAUCAGAUCCGCUCCUGAAAGCAAUCGCAGAGAGAGAAUCAUCACUCAAGAGUGGGAAACUUUCAACCAUUCUCUAUCUCCGUGCCCGUAACGGCCGUGGUGAGGAGUUCUCUGGCUACAUCGACCUGGCUGAGCGACUCAGCACCGAGGACUUCCGGCCAUACUUCACCGGAAAGUGUCUCCUGCUACCUCGCUCAACAGACUUGAGCUUCUACAAUUGGGAUACGAACGCCUGGAAUGGUCGCUCAAGCGCCAACUUCCUCCUGAUCAUUGACGAUGGUGGAGGAGCUGGAGGAGGUGGAGGAGGUGGUGGGGGAGGAGGUGGA